RNAcentral lists this transfer RNA (70 nucleotides) under Aromobates ornatissimus. Its description in RNAcentral is "tRNA-Val". The record is from RNAcentral. Lineage: Eukaryota; Metazoa; Chordata; Amphibia; Anura; Aromobatidae.
CAGGGUAUAACUUAACUUAAAGUCUUUCGCUUACACCGAAACUAUAUUUGUGAAAACCAAAUUUCCCUGA